Rattus norvegicus (Norway rat) is the source of this 1491-nucleotide non-coding RNA. The record is from RefSeq and is a predicted model, not a curated record. Lineage: Eukaryota; Metazoa; Chordata; Mammalia; Rodentia; Muridae.
CCCAUGGCCGGUCUUUUCUUCUUCCCCUUUCUACUCUUCUCUCAUUAAACCUCUCCUCGUGGAACCAUGUUGGUUUGGUGUGUUCUGUCUGGAUGCCAGCCGAGAUUUAAGCCUCAACAGAGAGAAUAUGACAGAUAUGCAUUGUGUGAAAAUAUUUUUCAAUUAGAAAAAAUUAAAGUAGACACUUGACCGAUUCGAAACAGUGGAUACAGAAGUAAUCUGAGAGCUCUUAACUGUUUCAGUAAACACUUCUGCGCUGAACCCCAAGACCCUAGAUACCGGGGACGCCCCCCAAGUGGUUGACGUAUAGUGGAGCCAGCCCAGCCUGCUCUCAGAAUAAACCUCUCACCCCAGAGAUCAGUGCUGUAAAAGGGUCUACAGGCCCAGAAUGCGGUCCGCACGAUGUGAUCCUCUUCAUGGCCUACAGAGCAGGUGGAGAAGUGAGGGGUGGGGUGGGAGCACACCAGGAUUGGAUUGGCUUACACGGUUCCAUGUCUUUGUCAAGCCUAGCAAGCAGGUACUGGAUGUGUCCUAGUGAGCCAAGGGAGAACAUAGUCCUCACGGGAUCCCAAACAGGGUAGAAAGAGUGGGCUAAGGGAUUUGAGACCUUACAGGAAUAGGAGGUCCAAUGCAGGACUCGGCAGCAGCAAUUGCUGUAUUCCCUUGACAAAGCCCCAGGCUAAAAAGUGCCCUUUCUUUCCCACUGGGACAGGAUGCCAUCUGGGGCACCUUACAAGCUGGCCUUGUUUCCAGAUUAAGACAGCGGGUGAAUGAGGCAAAGUCUGCUCCUGCUCCCGGCCGGCUGUGUAGACCAACACAAAGGAACUCUUUCUCUCAGCCUGCAGUGUGAAUUAAUCUCCGUGUGUCACAUGACAGCGGAUGGGUUUCACGCCUAAUAGGUUUCUCUGCUGAUGUAAUAGCUCGAUAACUCAAACCAAAUUAAAAAAAAAAAAAUACAAAAGCAACCGCACACCUUUAAUCCCAGCACUAGAGGAGAGGUGGGAGAACCUAUCUCUGUGAGUUCGAGGCCAGCCUGGUCUAUAGAGCGAGUUUCAGGGCAGCCAGGGCUACACAGAGAAAAUGACUUGAGAAACAAAAACACAAACAAAAGAAAGAAGAGGAAGGAAAGGAGGAAGACAGACAGACAGACAAUGGUCAAAGCAGUCAACAGACAAAAGCACACAGCACAGCAGUACUGCUCCUCACCGACUGCACGUCCGUCCUAUAACAGAACAGAAUCGAAGAACUUUAGGUCAAUUCGAGAAAUAAAAAUAAAACUGAAAAGAGAACCUCUGAACGCAGAAAGGAGUAAAGACUUAACGGAAUAAGAGACUGUGAAAGAGACUCAUUUCCAGUAUGAGAUGAAGAUGUAGAACUUUCAGCUCCUCCUGCACUAUGCCUGCCUGGAUGCUGCCAUGCUCUGGCCUCGAUGACAAUGGACAGAACCUCUGAACCUGUAAGCGGCCCCAAUUAAAUGUUGUCCUAACAAGA